AUAUCUCUCUGUACGGGAAGGAUGAGAAGCUUCGACCAAGGUUCGAUUCGAGCGCAGCGAGAAAGCGUUGCCGCAGGCAACGACCCGAAGGGC
RNAcentral lists this small RNA (93 nucleotides) under Salmonella enterica. RNAcentral describes it as "partial RtT sRNA". It matches the Rfam family "RtT RNA", at positions 1 to 92 of the family's 130-position model. From Rfam's summary of the family: This family represents a bacterial cis-regulatory element known as RtT RNA. The exact function of RtT is unknown although it is thought that it may be involved in changing the cellular response in relation to amino acid starvation. Lineage: Bacteria; Pseudomonadati; Pseudomonadota; Gammaproteobacteria; Enterobacterales; Enterobacteriaceae. RNAcentral also lists the same sequence under 3 other names. The record is from RNAcentral.